AUCGUGCUACCUCCUACCCAAUGUGCAGCGGUUUGACGUCUUCGUUUCCUCGUCCGCGCCGGGAACUAUUCAACCUUCUAGUUGCUGUUCAACGAGUCCCUGAAAACUUAAUAGUUACAACUUUCAACAACGGAUCUCUUGGUUCUGGCAUCGAUGAAGAACGCAGCGAAAUGCGAUAAGUAGUGUGAAUUGCAGAAUUCAGUGAAUCAUCGAAUCUUUGAACGCACAUUGCGCCCCUUGGUAUUCCAUGGGGCAUGCCUGUUCGAGCGUCAUUUGUACCUUCAAGCUCUGCUUGGUGUUGGGUGUUUUGUCUCGCCUCCGCGCGCAGACUCGCCUUAAAACAAUUGGCAGCCGGCGUAUUGAUUUCGGAGCGCAGUACAUCUCGCGCUUUGCACUCAUAACGACGACGUCCAAAAGUACAUUUUUACACUCUUGACCUCGGAUCAGGUAGGGACA
This 456-nucleotide ribosomal RNA is filed under the name Epicoccum nigrum. RNAcentral's name for it is "eukaryotic LSU rRNA". The stretch from base 119 to 272 matches the Rfam family "5.8S ribosomal RNA". Lineage: Eukaryota; Fungi; Ascomycota; Dothideomycetes; Pleosporales; Didymellaceae. The record is from RNAcentral.